This 250-nucleotide ribosomal RNA is filed under the name uncultured Alphaproteobacteria bacterium. Its description in RNAcentral is "partial 16S ribosomal RNA". It matches the Rfam family "Bacterial small subunit ribosomal RNA", at positions 63 to 339 of the family's 1533-position model. The record is from RNAcentral. Lineage: Bacteria; Pseudomonadati; Pseudomonadota; Alphaproteobacteria.
CGAACGCGUGUAGCAAUACACGAGUGGCGCACGGGUGAGUAACGCGUGGAUAUCUGCCUUUUGGUUCGGAAUAACUCCGGGAAACUGGAGCUAAUACCGGAUGGUUCCUACGGGAUAAAGAUUUAUCGCCAAAAGAUGAGUCCGCGUACGAUUAGCUAGUUGGUGAGGUAAUGGCUCACCAAGGCGACGAUCGUUAGCUGGUCUGAGAGGACGAUCAGCCACACUGGGACUGAGACACGGCCCAGACUCC